This 735-nucleotide ribosomal RNA is filed under the name Cheironchus haurakiensis. Its description in RNAcentral is "eukaryotic LSU rRNA". It matches the Rfam family "Eukaryotic large subunit ribosomal RNA", at positions 343 to 966 of the family's 3401-position model. The record is from RNAcentral. Lineage: Eukaryota; Metazoa; Nematoda; Chromadorea; Chromadorida; Selachinematidae.
UACAAGUACCCGUGAGGGAAAGUUGCAAAGAACUUUGAAGAGAGAGUUCAAGAGGGCGUGAAACCGUUUGGAAGUAAACGGAUGGGGCUGACGUUGACUCAUGGGAUUCAGCCAAUCGCGGCGUGUUCCGCGGCUGGUGCAUUUCUUUUGAGGCCUACGGCGGAGGUGGUUUUGUGCGGCUGGUUAUGGAGUCGGGGUGGCCAGGCGUCUGGUGUCUGCGACUCUAUGAAAGCGUGUCACCGGAACUAUGGAAAGUUGCACGCGUUUUUACUCGGGGCGGUGCUGAAGCUUCCGAUGGAUGAAUCGCUUCUCUGCGUGACAGGGAGCGACUGUGCGUAGUAGCCGAAGCCCGUCGGCGAUUGUGCAGCGACUCUGCUGAUUUGUCGGUUACCUAUCCGACCCGUCUUGAAACACGGACCAAGGAGUUUAACAUGUGCGCGAGUUAUUGGGCGGUAAACUCAAAGGCGCAAUGAAAGUGAUGGAUUGUUCUAUGAUAUGGGAUCCCGCUGGCAACAGUGGGCGCACCAUAUUCCCGCUUUUUCUGCAUCGCCAGUUAAGCGGAGAAAGAGCGUACAUGUUGAGACCCGAAAGAUGGUGAACUAUGCCUGAGCAGGACGAAGCCAGAGGAAACUCUGGUGGAGGUUCAUAGCGGUUCUGACGUGCAAAUCGAUCGUCGGACUCGGGUAUAGGGGCGAAAGACUAAUCGAACCAUCUAGUAGCUGGUUCCCUUCGCAA